UUCCACGGAAGCCUUCCCAGGGCCGCUGC
This 29-nucleotide non-coding RNA is filed under the name Homo sapiens (human). Lineage: Eukaryota; Metazoa; Chordata; Mammalia; Primates; Hominidae. The record is from RNAcentral.